This 465-nucleotide ribosomal RNA is filed under the name Vreelandella stevensii. RNAcentral describes it as "partial 16S ribosomal RNA". It matches the Rfam family "Bacterial small subunit ribosomal RNA", at positions 338 to 795 of the family's 1533-position model. Lineage: Bacteria; Pseudomonadati; Pseudomonadota; Gammaproteobacteria; Oceanospirillales; Halomonadaceae. The record is from RNAcentral.
CCUACGAGCGGCAGCAGUGGGGAAUAUUGGACAAUGGGGGCAACCCUGAUCCAGCCAUGCCGCGUGUGUGAAGAAGGCCCUCGGGUUGUAAAGCACUUUCAGUGAGGAAGAACGCCUGGUGGUUAAUACCCAUCAGGAAAGACAUUACUCACAGAAGAAGCACCGGCUAACUCCGUGCCAGCAGCCGCGGUAAUACGGAGGGUGCGAGCGUUAAUCGGAAUUACUGGGCGUAAAGCGCGCGUAGGUGGCUUGAUAAGCCGGUUGUGAAAGCCCCGGGCUCAACCUGGGAACGGCAUCCGGAACUGUCAAGCUAGAGUGCAGGAGAGGAAGGUAGAAUUCCCGGUGUAGCGGUGAAAUGCGUAGAGAUCGGGAGGAAUACCAGUGGCGAAGGCGGCCUUCUGGACUAACACUGACACUGAGGUGCGAAAGCGUGGGUAGCAAACAGGAUUAGAUACCCUUGUAGUC